This 253-nucleotide ribosomal RNA is filed under the name uncultured bacterium. RNAcentral describes it as "partial 16S ribosomal RNA". It matches the Rfam family "Bacterial small subunit ribosomal RNA", at positions 524 to 776 of the family's 1533-position model. The record is from RNAcentral.
UACGGAGGGUGCAAGCGUUGUUCGGAAUCAUUGGGCGUAAAGCGCGUGUAGGCGGCUUGGCAAGUCGGUUGUGAAAGCCCGGGGCCCAACCCCGGAAUUGCAUCUGAAACUGCCUCGCUAGAGUCCCGGAGAGGAAGGCAGAAUUCCCGGUGUAGGGGUGAAAUCCGUAGAUAUCGGGAGGAAUACCAGCGGCGAAGGCGGCCUUCUGGACGGUGACUGACGCUGAGGAGCGAAAGCGUGGGGAGCGAACAGG